This is a long non-coding RNA of Oreochromis aureus, 374 nucleotides long. The record is from Ensembl. Lineage: Eukaryota; Metazoa; Chordata; Actinopteri; Cichliformes; Cichlidae.
UGGUAGCUGAGACGCAGCGGAGCGGAGGUGGAGUGCCUGGAUUAAAACAGGACAUAUUAGCAGCAUUUAACCUUCAGUUACUCUUUAUGUAGUUAGAUAGGAGUCAUGUUUCUUUUUAGCUGAAAAACAUUACACCAGAGAGACAGCCAGGUUCAUAAUGGAUAUAAGGAAGUUUUUUCAAAAACAGGAGCCACAUUCAGUCCAAAGAGGGAGAGAGGAAAGAGGGGAACAUGAGGAGAAAGUACAAGGUCAGGAAGAACCAGUGUGUACCGCCUGAGAAAAAUGUCAAGCUCUCCCAAGUACCACUAUGAAAGCAUGAAACUCAUAAAUCUUACAACACAAAAUUAGUAUUAUUAAAUUAGUUAAAUUAGUAU